Molecule: ribosomal RNA, 385 nt
Filed under: uncultured bacterium
Lineage: Bacteria
Description: bacterial SSU rRNA
Rfam family: Bacterial small subunit ribosomal RNA
Source: RNAcentral
GACGAACGCUGGCGGCGUGCUUAACACAUGCAAGUCGAACGGUAAGGCCCUUCGGGGUACACGAGUGGCGAACGGGUGAGUAACACGUGGGUGAUCUGCCCUGCACUUCGGGAUAAGCCUGGGAAACUGGGUCUAAUACCGGAUAGGACCAUGGACUUCACGGUUUGUGGUGGAAAGCUUUUGCGGUGUGGGAUGGGCCCGCGGCCUAUCAGCUUGUUGGUGGGGUAAUGGCCUACCAAGGCGACGACGGGUAGCCGGCCUGAGAGGGUGUCCGGCCACACUGGGACUGAGAUACGGCCCCAGACUCCUACGGGAGGCAGCAGUGGGGAAUAUUGCACAAUGGGCGCAAGCCUGAUGCAGCGACGCCGCGUGAGGGAUGACGGCC